GGACAUGGAGGCAUUUAAAAGUGUCUGAAUGAAAGAAUACAAGCCUAACUUCUGACUUCCUGACUCCCCACCCUUUAAGUGGGGCCUGGGGAGGUCUUCAUUCGACAGCAAACAUCUACGGAGGACCUGGCUCUUGCCCGGAGAAAGGGGAUCUAAGGCCAAGAAAAUGGGCAAAUGGACAUUUUUGCCUCCGUGUGGAUCCCAGGCGGUAUGUGUGCGCCCAAACAGCAUCCACGGUGCUGCUCUGGGUGGAUCCUUUUCCUGGCGUUCUCUCUCCCAUCUUGGAUAACGUUCUAUGAGUCUAGAAAAUCCAGCACACAAGGCAAGGAAGGGAAGUCUCAGCCACACUGCAUCACAGCACAAGUCCCGGCACCACAGAAGAAUGGGCAGAAAGAGCCCUUUUCUCGUAGAGAGAACUCACUGGACUCUUUCAGAUGAAAAUUAAGUUAGAUUAAGGAGAAUCGGAGGGAAUAUCUGCAUUAAACCACCAGACCUUACCUGUGCUAAGAAAUCACCACAAAGAGGAUUCUUGCCCCAACACUGCCUCAGUUUCCUUUCUAUGAAGCUCUUUCUGUGAACGUAAGGUAGAGAUGUCAAAGUGAGGUAACAAUCCUGAAAGAUAAAUCUGGGCUAUUUUUAAUACCAGGGCUAGCUGGUGGUUUAAUAUUAGUGGAGUCAAAUGAAACAGAAUGUGACAACACCACCAGUUAGUGCUCGUGCCUGCGCCAGUAGCAUUUUUCAACAUUGUGGAGAAUUGCAAAGGAAUAAAGCAUAAUCUGUGAUACCAAGGC
RNAcentral lists this long non-coding RNA (791 nucleotides) under Equus caballus (horse). Its description in RNAcentral is "lncRNA (ENSECAG00000047596.1)". The record is from RNAcentral. Lineage: Eukaryota; Metazoa; Chordata; Mammalia; Perissodactyla; Equidae.